RNAcentral lists this long non-coding RNA (825 nucleotides) under Fragaria vesca (wild strawberry). Its description in RNAcentral is "long non-coding RNA (FVES_LNC003828)". Lineage: Eukaryota; Viridiplantae; Streptophyta; Magnoliopsida; Rosales; Rosaceae. The record is from RNAcentral.
CUUCAAAUCGCAGUGGAUGCAGCACAUGGUAUAGAAUAGCUGACAUAUAAGAUAAAUAUAUAUGUUAAAGAGUUUGUUUCUUUGGUUCCCCUAUAUAUAUUCAUCAUGUAGUUCUAAAUCAUGAUCAUGUUGAAAUUUGAUGUACAUUAGUACAAGGCAUCGAUUAGGCUUUUAAAUGGCAGAUGAUAUUUUGCAGGACUGGAUUAUCUACACAAUGAUUGCAAGCCUCCCAUAAUCCACAGAGAUAUAAAGACCUCCAAUAUAUUGUUAACUGAAAAGACGCAAGCCAAGAUAUGUGAUUUUGGUGUUUCCAAACUUCUUUCAACUGAAACGGCCACUCAUACCAUGACAGAUCACGUCAGAGGAACUCGCGGAUACUUUGAUCCUGAGUAAGUUAGUAAAGACAUAUAUUAGACAUAUAAGUUGCUCUAAAUUGCUGAUAGAUAAGCAUAACUUACAUUCUUCGAUUUUCUUCUUUUCAUUUCAUUAUGUUCAGAUACUACACCACAGGAAAGCUGAACAAAAAGAGUGAUAUAUACAGCUUUGGGGUUGUGUUGCUAGAGCUGAUCACCGGAAGAACAGCAAUAAUAACAGAUGUAGAACCCGAACCUGUUCACAUUUGUCAAUGGGUGAGGCCUAUGUUUCAGAGAAGAGAUAUUGAAAGCAUAUUGGAUUCAAGGAUACAAGCAGGGACUUACACUGUUUCCUCUGCUUGGAAGGCGGUAGAAAUCGCCAUGGAAUGUGUGUCCUCAACAGCUACCGAAAGACCAGAUAUCACUGUCGUGUAUAAGGAAUUGAAGGAAUGUUUGGAAAUUGAGGUUCCAC